RNAcentral lists this non-coding RNA (951 nucleotides) under Aphyosemion cameronense (Cameroon killifish). Its description in RNAcentral is "12S ribosomal RNA". It matches the Rfam family "Bacterial small subunit ribosomal RNA". Lineage: Eukaryota; Metazoa; Chordata; Actinopteri; Cyprinodontiformes; Nothobranchiidae. The record is from RNAcentral.
CAAAGGCUUGGUCCUGACUUUACUAUCAAUUUUAAUCAAAUUUACACAUGCAAGUAUCCGCAUUCCCGUGAAAAUACCCUACAGUUUUCUUCCUGAAAACAAGGAGAUGGUAUCAGGCACAAUAAUAAUAUUUAGCCCACAACAUCAUGUCAAGCCACACCCCCAAGGGAAUUCAGCAGUGAUAAACAUUAAGCCAUAAGUGAAAACUUGACUUAGUUAUGAUUAAUAGAGCCGGCCAAACUCGUGCCAGCCGCCGCGGUUAUACGAGGGACUCAAGUUGAUAGCCAUCGGCGUAAAGCGUGUUUAGAAGUUAACUAAAAUAAAGUGGAAUGCCUCCAUAACUGUUAUACGUAUCCGGAAGCAAGAACAACCCCUACGAAAGUGACUUUAAUUUACUCGAAUACACGAAAGCUGUGACACAAACUGGGAUUAGAUACCCCACUAUGCACAACCUUAAACUUUGUUAGACAAUUACAAUAUCUAAUCGCCAGGGCACUACGAGCAUAAGCUUAAAACCUAAAGGACUUGGCGGUGCUUUAGACCCACCUAGAGGAGCCUGUUCUAUAACCGAUAACCCCCGUUAAACCUCACCUUCUUUUGUCAUUUCCGCCUAUAUACCGCCGUCGUCAGCUUACCUUGUAAAGGAUUCUCAGUAAGCCAAAUCGAUAUUAUCCAAAACGCCAGGUCGAGGUGUAGCAUAUAAGAAGGAAAGAAAUGGGCUACAUUUUCUAAUUCAGAAAAAACGGAAAUUGCCAUGAAACAGCACAUUUAAGGAGGAUUUAGCAGUAAGCAGAGAAUAGAGAGCUCUACUGAAAACGGCCCUGAAGCGCGCACACACCGCCCGUCACUCUCCCUGAAUCACCUGUUAUUAAAUUCAUAAUACAACUUCUUGAACAAAAGGGAGGCAAGUCGUAACAUGGUAAGUAUACCGGAAGGUGUACUUGGUUAAAC